CCUACAUGCGACUGCGAAGGUCAUUAUCGAGUUUUGAAGUAAGGCUUGAUGCUGGUGCGGAAACGUACAUGUGCUCAGUCUUACACUCAUUCCACUCAACACCUGUGCACUUAUCGAAGUUAGUAGUCGUUCCUCCUUUCAUUAGGAGCCGUUGAGAGGAGAGUCUCGCAAGUAAUCAUUAGGAAGGUUGAUUUAUUGACUUUCUUAAAGGUGAAAGGCGGGGUCACCUUGACUGGGAGCGGUGAAACCUUUGACUUAUUAUAAACCUUUUACUUGUCUUGUAGAAUGUAAUGCUCCUCGUGGGCGAAAUGAAAAUACAACUUUCAACAACGGAUCUCUUGGCUCUCGCAUCGAUGAAGAACGCAGCGAAAUGCGAUAAGUAAUGUGAAUUGCAGAAUUCAGUGAAUCAUCGAAUCUUUGAACGCACCUUGCGCCCUUUGGUAUUCCGAAGGGCAUGCCUGUUUGAGUGUCAUGUUAAUCUCAAUAUCCUUGUUUUCUUAAUUGAAGACUUGGAGCAUUGGACUUGGAGGUUUAUGCUGGCCCCUUUUGUGGUCGGCUCCUCUUAAAUGUAUUAGUUGGACUUUGGUUCGCGUGAAGAUGUAAUAGUUUAUUCAUCAUUAGCGCUUGCCUAAUGGGUCUGCUUCUAAUCGUCUUGGGACAAAGAUUAACUUCUUUCUUGACUCUUUGACCUCAAAUCAGGUAGGACUACCCGCUGAACUUAAGCAUAUCAAA
The sequence is a ribosomal RNA, 732 nucleotides long. The stretch from base 319 to 472 matches the Rfam family "5.8S ribosomal RNA".